RNAcentral lists this ribosomal RNA (878 nucleotides) under uncultured eukaryote. RNAcentral's name for it is "SSU rRNA". It matches the Rfam family "Eukaryotic small subunit ribosomal RNA", at positions 636 to 1469 of the family's 1831-position model. The record is from RNAcentral.
CGGUGUUCAACUGGCGUGUCCGCGGGACGUCCUGCCGGUGGGCUUAGCCCGCAAGGGCGGCCCAACUUCAAAUCCCAUCGCGGUGCUCUUCACUGAGUGUCGAGGUGGGCCGGCACGUUUACUUUGAACAAAUUAGAGUGCUUAAAGCAGGCUAAAACUUCGCCUGAAUACUGUGUGCAUGGAAUAAUGGAAUAGGACCUCGGUUCUAUUUUGUUGGUUUUCGGAACCCCGAGGUAAUGAUUAAUAGGAACGGAUGGGGGCAUUCGUAUUGCGACGUUAGAGGUGAAAUUCUUGGAUCGUCGCAAGACGGGCAGAAGCGAAAGCAUUUGCCAAAAACGCUUUCAUUGAUCAAGAACGAAAGUUAGAGGUUCGAAGGCGAUCAGAUACCGCCCUAGUUCUAACCAUAAACGAUGCCAGCUAGCGAUCCGUCGACGUUCCUCCGAUGACUCGACGGGCAGCUUCCGGGAAACCAAAGCUUUUGGGUUCCGGGGGAAGUAUGGUUGCAAAGCUGAAACUUAAAGGAAUUGACGGAAGGGCACCACCAGGAGUGGAGCCUGCGGCUUAAUUUGACUCAACACGGGAAACCUCACCAGGCCCGGACACCGGAAGGAUUGACAGAUUGAGAGCUCUUUCUUGAUUCGGUGGGUGGUGGUGCAUGGGCCGUUCUUAGUUGGUGGAGCGAUUUGUCUGGUUAAUUCCGAUAACGAACGAGACUCUAGCCUGCUAACUAGGCGUAUUUUCGACAUCUCAAAGGUCCGUCGUCCCGGCCCUCGGGUCGUGGGCGUGCGCGAUUUUUACUGUCGGCGUACUAUCAAUUCUUCUUAGAGGGACAGGUGGCUUCUAGCCGCACGAGAUUGAGCAAUAACAGGUCUGUGAUG